CCUACGGGUGGCAGCAGUGGGGAAUAUUGGGCAAUGGGCGCAAGCCUGACCCAGCAACGCCGCGUGAAGGAAGAAGGCUUUCGGGUUGUACACUUCUUUUAAGAGGGAAGAGCAGAAGACGGUACCUCUUGAAUAAGCUACGGCUAACUACGUGCCAGCAGGCGAGGUGAUACGUAGGUGGCAAGCGGUGUCCGGAUAUACUGGGUGUAAAGGGCGUGUAGCCGGGCUGACAAGUCCGAUGUGAAAUCACGUGGCUCAACCACGGAACUGCAUUUGAAACUGUCGGUCUUGAGUAUCAGAGAGGCAGGCGGAAUGCCAAGUGUAGCGGUGAAAUGCGUAGAUAUUAGGAGGAACACCAGUGGCGAAGGCGGCCUGCUGGACGACAACUGACGGUGAGGCGCGAAAGCGUGGGGAGCAAACAGGAUUAGAUACCCUAGUAGUC
RNAcentral lists this ribosomal RNA (442 nucleotides) under uncultured bacterium. RNAcentral describes it as "partial 16S ribosomal RNA". It matches the Rfam family "Bacterial small subunit ribosomal RNA", at positions 338 to 795 of the family's 1533-position model. The record is from RNAcentral.